CCCCGUCGUGGCUGCGCGGGGCCGCGGGGGUCACCGCCCCUCGGGCGGGCCAGCCGGAGGCGGCUGGGUCACGAUGCCAGUCCACAGCCCGGGCGGAUAUCCAGCCUGCUAGGCCCUGCCUCGGAGGAACCUGCCUGCUUCAGGAAAGGAGUGCGAGGUGGUGUCCGUCUCUCUGUCAAGCUUUUCCUGCCUUCAGGCCUCUGCCCGCUCCCUCUGCUGUCCUCUCAGUGCAACAAGGGUGGUUACAACUGUGCCAGCGGAGAUGGGUGUCAGGCUUUAAGUCUAUGCCAGCAACUUCUCUUGGAUGGAGAGGACACAAAGGAGAGAGCCCAGAAGUACAAUGGCCACCAGAGGGCGGCAGACCCUGCUUCAAGCCCUGUUUUCUUUCUUGGACUCAUUAGUGCUGAACUGUUUUAUUCAAUCUCCAGAUUCAGUCUCCAUUCAAGGCCAGAUGCCCCCAAAGUGCUGGGGACUCAGCUCUCCUGAUACUCAGCAGGUUCCCUGAAAGUUGACACUGCUUCCUGGAUUUCUGCACUGUUCUUCCAGUUGAAGUAUCAAAAAGGAAUCAAUCUGCUUUGUACCCUGCCACCU
Molecule: long non-coding RNA, 591 nt
Filed under: Chinchilla lanigera (long-tailed chinchilla)
Lineage: Eukaryota; Metazoa; Chordata; Mammalia; Rodentia; Chinchillidae
Description: lncRNA (ENSCLAG00000026270.1)
Source: RNAcentral